CAACUUAUUCGGAACUGGCAUACCUUGGACAAACCUGGUGCCAGUCACAUGAGAGGAAUGUGCACACACAGGCGUGCUGCAGUGCAGACCACAACUUCAUGCUUGAAUAGUGUGCACUG
Sinocyclocheilus rhinocerous is the source of this 119-nucleotide long non-coding RNA. RefSeq lists it as uncharacterized. The record is from RefSeq and is a predicted model, not a curated record. The transcript is spliced from 3 exons. NCBI's taxonomy places the organism in Eukaryota, Metazoa, Chordata, Actinopteri, Cypriniformes, Cyprinidae.